This 439-nucleotide ribosomal RNA is filed under the name uncultured bacterium. RNAcentral's name for it is "partial 16S ribosomal RNA". It matches the Rfam family "Bacterial small subunit ribosomal RNA", at positions 339 to 795 of the family's 1533-position model. The record is from RNAcentral.
CUACGGGAGGCUGCAGUGAGGAAUAUUGCACAAUGGGGGGAACCCUGAUGCAGCAACGCCGCGUGGAGGAUGACGCAUUUCGGUGUGUAAACUCCUUUUAUAUGUCAAGAAAAUGACGGUAGCAUAUGAAUAAGCACCGGCUAACUCCGUGCCAGCAGCCGCGGUAAUACGGAGGGUGCAAGCGUUACUCGGAAUCACUGGGCGUAAAGGGCGCGUAGGCGGGUUGGAAAGUCAGGUGUGAAAUCCUACAGCUUAACUGUAGAACUGCACUUGAAACUUCUAAUCUAGAGUAUGGGAGGGGGAGAUGGAAUUAGUGGUGUAGGGGUAAGAUCCGUAGAUAUCACUAGGAAUACCUAAAGCGAAGGCGAUCUCCUGGAACAUUACUGACGCUAAGGCGUGAAAGCGUGGGGAGCAAACAGGAUUAGAUACCCUAGUAGUC